AAAAUAAAAAUUAAUAAUUUUAUAAAUAAUAAAAGUAUUUUUAAUAUUAAUAUUGGGGGGUUUUAGUAUUAAAAAAAAAAAAAUUAUAAAAUUUAUAGUUAAAUAGUAUUGUAAAAGAAAUUUUAAAUAAAAUUGAAAAUUAAUUUAUUUAAAAGUAAAUUUAAAUUAUUGUAUCUUGUGUAUCAGAGUUUAUUAAAUAAAAAUUUGAUUAAAAUUAUUUCUCGAAUUUAAAAGAGAUAAUUAAUUAUAAAAGUUAUUGUUGCAUAAAUAUUUUUAAUAAUUAAUUUGAAAUGAAAUGUUAAUCGUUUUUAAAAAUAUCUAGUUUUUUUAGAAAAAAAUUUAAUUUUACUUUUUUUUUAUAAAAAAUUAAUUAAUUAAUUUUUUAUAAAAAAAAAAGUUAUAUUUUAAGGGAUAAGCUUUAAAUUAAAUUUUUAUAAUUAAUUUUUAAAGAAUUAAAAUAUUUAAAAUUUAUAUUGUUUAUAAUUUAUAAUUUAUUAUAAAUAAUUUUAAUUUAAUUAAAAUUUUAAAUUAAUUUAAUUUUUUAUAAAAAAAUAAUUUUUAAUUAAAUAUAUUUAGUUAAAAUGAUAAAAUUAGUAUUUAAUUAAAAAAAAAUAUAUAAUUUUUAAUAAAAAAUAUUAUUUAGGAAUUCGGCAAAUAUUUAUAUUCACUUGUUUAUCAAAAACAUGUCUUUUUGAAAAUAAUUUAAAGUCUAAUCUGCCCACUGAUGAAAUAUUAAAGGGCUGCAGUAUAUUGACUGUACAAAGGUAGCAUAAUCAAUAGUCUCUUAAUUGGUGACUUGUAUGAAAGAUUGGAUGAGAUAUAAACUGUCUUAAUAAUAAUUAAAGAAAUUAAUUUUUUAUUUAAAAAGUUAAAAUAAAUUUAAAAGACGAGAAGACCCUAUAGAGUUUUAUAAAAUUUUUUAUUAAAAUUAUAUUUAAAAAUAAUAAUUAAAAUAAAAAUUUUUAUUUUGUUGGGGUGAUAAAAAAAUAUAAAUAACUUUUUUUUAAUAAAAACAUAAAUAAAUGAAUAAUUGAUCCAAAAUUAUUUUGAUUAAAAGAAAAAAUUACCUUAGGGAUAACAGCGUAAUUUUUUUUUUUAGUUCAAAUAAGAAAAAAAGUUUGCGACCUCGAUGUUGGAUUAAGAUAAAAUUUAUAUGCAAAAGUUUAAAAUUUUGAUCUGUUCGAUCAUUAAAAUCUUACAUGAUCUGAGUUCAAACCGGUGUGAGCCAGGUUGGUUUCUAUCUUUAAAAAAAUAAAAUAUUUUAGUACGAAAGGAAUAAGUAUUUAAAUUAAAUUUAAAUAAAAGAAUAUCAUUAAAAUAAUUAGUAAAAUAUUAAAUUAUAAUAUAUAAAUAUAUACAUAUUAAAAUACUAUUUUGGCAGAAA
Molecule: ribosomal RNA, 1384 nt
Filed under: Spoladea recurvalis
Lineage: Eukaryota; Metazoa; Arthropoda; Insecta; Lepidoptera; Crambidae
Description: 16S ribosomal RNA
Source: RNAcentral